CGUGAGGAACUUGCCCAUGAGCGGGGGACAACAUUCGGAAACGGAUGCUAAUACCCCAUAGGUGGAUUGGUCGCAUGACGAAUUCAUUAAAGGUGGCUUUGCUACCGCUCAUGGAUAGCCUCGCGGCGUAUUAGCUAGUUGGUAAGGUAAUGGCUUACCAAGGCAGUGACACGUAGCAGACUUGAGAGGGUGAUCGGCCACACUGGGACUGAGACACGGCCCAG
RNAcentral lists this ribosomal RNA (224 nucleotides) under uncultured Carnobacteriaceae bacterium. RNAcentral's name for it is "partial 16S ribosomal RNA". It matches the Rfam family "Bacterial small subunit ribosomal RNA", at positions 116 to 334 of the family's 1533-position model. The record is from RNAcentral. Lineage: Bacteria; Bacillati; Bacillota; Bacilli; Lactobacillales; Carnobacteriaceae.